RNAcentral lists this unclassified non-coding RNA (4478 nucleotides) under Hevea brasiliensis (rubber tree). Lineage: Eukaryota; Viridiplantae; Streptophyta; Magnoliopsida; Malpighiales; Euphorbiaceae. The record is from RNAcentral.
UUUUCCUCAUUCCCCAACCAGACCAAGAGUUUGCCUCAGCUCCAUUUUUCUCAGUACUUCCACUGACAGUUGUCUUCCAAGCAGCUGCAGUAUCCCAACUGCUGGACAGGUCAGAUUUUUUUUGCACUUUCAUAGCAGGGAGAUCAGAUGCUUCCAUUUUCCUUGUUCCCCAACCAGACCAUGGGUUUGUCUCAUCGUUGUUAUUUUUUGUCUUUUCAUUUGCAUUUUUCUGCCAAGUAGCUGCAGUAUCCCAACCGCUGGACUUGUCAGAUUGCUCCUGGGCUUUUGUGGAGAGUGCAUUUUCUGUUUCAGCUAUAUCACUUCCCCAGCUAGACCAGGGCUUUUCUUGAAAUUCAUCAGUUUCUUCAAAGCUGGGCUUAUCAGAACCAAAAUUGUUCUCUGGAGACAAGUUCCAGUCAAUUUCAUCCUCCAACAUAAGAUCAUCAACUUCUGCACCUAAACAGGCAGUGACUGAUUCUUCUCCAUCUGCACCACUUCUCACCAUAUUUAAAAAUUCAUAAACAUCUAUUCUACCCUCUUGAUUCAAACAGGCCUCCUUCUGGUCCCAAAGCAAAUCAAAUCGUGAUCCUGUACCAACUGCCACACACUUACCCCACGAACAAGAAGCAACUAUGCUCGAUAAAGUAUCCACAUGACACUUCUCUGCAGCUCUCUCAAAACAUUUUCUUGGGGUAAAGAGUGUUGCCUCAGUAAAUGGUACUUGGAUAUCCAAUGAGCGAGAUAGUGAUUUGUAGCCACCAGAAUUGAAGCCAACCAAAUUUCCACCACAUGUCAUGCUGUUUGCCAGGAGAAUGAGGUGCUCCUUGAGCACACCUUUUGCCACCAUUGUUACUGAGGUUGAGAGGCGCUGAACUGCUUGAUCAAAUGCACAAGAAACUCCCAACAAUUCCUGAACUUGUUUAAUCGCAUAUGGUAUAGAACGUGUGGUAUCAAUCAAAUGAAGAACAGGAAGGCAGGAAUCUAGGACAAUUCUCCAUGCAUCACCACUCUGUUUAACAGCUGAUUUCUCAAUAACAACAUCCAGGGCCAGUUCCCCCUUCUGAGUCCUGGAAGGAUUUCUUAUCCAAGUUGUUGUAUCUGGACUAACCCAAAUAAUGUUUGCAGAGGAAAUUCGAUGAUCACCUUUGAUGAUUGUCUCCAACAAGACUGGACAAACUACAUCAGAGAAGAUAUUUGAAAUGUUCUCCAAAUGAAUAUCAUGGUCUAGCCAAAAGAACAUCAAGCACGGCAUGCUGGACCACUCAUCAGCACAAGAUUGCUGGAAAGAGCAACAUUCGCUGAAAGACACCUCUAUCCUUUUAAAUAAAGGAGCAAGCUUUUUCUUCUUUCGAAAUGAAGUGAUCGUCUCUUUGCACUUUUGAAGAAUAACUUCCAUACCCACAUUCAAUUCUUGCAACUUCUUCUUUUUGAGAUGAAUAUGGCCAACGAGACUGGCAUCUGCUAUUGUUUGCCGCCUCUUGUAUUCGAUCAUAAAACACUCUGCAAUGUCUUUAAGAAUGACUCUCCCCAAAUGAUUCUUCACCAAGUAGGCCGCUUUUUCCUGACAGUAACUUCUCCCACAAUCACAAUCAUUAAAAUACAAAAUGACGCGGCGAUCAGUAAGAUCAUUCUUGAAGUUAACUCUGCAAAGAAGUAUUUCCUUCAUCAACUCCCAUGAGGAGUUGCUACUUGGAGUCGAAUCAAGAACUGCUUUGUAUGCAGGAUUGGACAUAGCAGUUGCAGCUAACACACCCACAGGUUCACCCGCAGGGAAUAAACUCUGUGCCUUAAUUCCAGAAUUUACUCCAUACUCGAACUGGAUGAUUGAAUUGCUGCAUACAUUCCUCACAGUUCCAUCAUAACAAAUAACCACAUCUCUAAGGAUAGCCAUCAAGUUCUUGAAUAAAGUCCCAGGUUCAGAUAAUCCUCUCGAUGAGCGAACAAUAACCUCUCUUGUAGAUAUUGAAUGGACCAUCUCUUCAUAUGGAUCUAACCCACGAAAAAAACAGCUUUAAAUCAACCCAUACUGUGCAGAUGGAUAAUCAACUCAAUCAGCAGGAUAUUUGCUCUCAAAAUGAGAAGCCAUGUCUUCAACCAAUGUUUUAGAAUAGAACUUCCCCCUAUCUGAAAUUUGCAGGCCCAAGAAGCCAAUCUGUUGGACUAAUUUGGUCAUGGCUGAAUCGCUCUUAUAGUCAAUUAAAUCACCCAGGGAAGAAGACCUUAAAAUAAAAUCUGCAGCUGGUAGUUUAGCAUGCCGGAUGUGAUUUUCCAAUUGCAACUCCAACAGCUCAUUGUAGCUUGAUCUUAAGUGACCAAGCAAAGGAGAAAUAACAUUCAAAUCUCUAUGAAUACUCUCUAUGGAAGCCCUAGAUAUGUAGAAGUCCUCCAAGCCAACACUAAAACCUUCAGAAAACAGAUUUUCCAUUAACAAAGGCUGCAGAGAGUUGAAGAACUUGAAAACAGCAUCAGGACCUUUCUCAAAAAAGAUAGAGAUCACAACUUCAUUAAUAACAGCCUGCACGAUAUCCCUACUAAAAUCAACCUUUACAAUGUCCCCUUUACUGAUCCAGUAUCUUUCCCCAUUGCAGUCAAACUGAGAAGGCAAAGCAGUCUGUAGUAUCUGUGGAGCAGUCCAAAAUGGGCCAGAGUGAACUUUCCAUAAGGCAGGCUGUGGCAAAGAAGAUGAUACAAACAAAGCUAAUUGCUGAGCGGCUGCUUUGUCCAAGAAGUAUGCCUUAAACAUGGUCUUCAACGAUAAAAGAGAAUCUGAGGUCAAUUGCAAAUUCAGAUUGCCACUAUGAGAGCUAAGCAACUGUUUCUCAACUGAAAACAAUUCCAAGACUUCUGCUUUCGCAGCAAGGGACUGAGGAUAGAAUAGAUGAAUGCAAUCACCAUCAAAAUCAGCACUUAACGGCCCACAAAUAAGAGGAUUGAUCUUCACAGAGUGAUCAUCGUGCACAUAAACAGACAGUGCUUGCAAAGAAUGCUUGUGUGUUGUCGGGGGUCUAUUGAUGAAGACUGUAUCUCCAUCCAUUAUUCGCCGAUGGACAAUCUGACCUGGACGAAGAAAUGUGUGUCCCUUGGAACCUUCUCUGAGUGAAUAAGUGGAAGAUCCAUCCUUGUAUGUCAAGCACAACUUGUUGUCCACAAGCUCUUGAAGAUAUUUGAUGUUGUGCACAUUAACCCUCUCCUCAAACGUGAUUCUCUGAGCAAUUUCAAAAGGGAUCCCAAUCUCAUUCACACGUUUGUAUGCAUCACCUGUAAUCACACUGCGCGAAGAGAAUCCAGAACCCUUUCUGAUGAACAAAGUCCUCAUUUUCUCAAGCCAUGCUUUGGUUGAGGAAUCAUUGGACUCCUUGUGUACCCCAAAUCUUGCUUCAAUAUCCCGAGAUGCUCUUGCAGUACCCCUAACUUGAAGAUAUUGAUCGACUGCUGACUGCAAAUCAACGGCUUCAACUUCAUGGGAUUCAAAGUUUGCUGGACCAGAUCGUGAGCUUUUGAUUAUCUCAACUUGCUUAAGAACUUUCUUAAGCAUGGAUAUAGAAAGAUCAGAGGACAUGACACUAACACCAUCAGAAAUGUCUGGAACUGACAAACAGUUUGGUGGAACUGGUAUAUAUCGCAUGAUAUAACCAUCCUGCGGAAAAUACCCUUUUCUAGCAAGUUUUUUUCUAGUCUCUUGUGGAAUUCUCCUAAGCAUUUCCAUCACCUCACAAGGAAGCAACGUUCGAGUAAUGUCAUCACCAUAGCGAAAACCAUAUCUUUCUAAGAAAUUCCAAAAACCAUCUCUCAAUCUCAUCCUAGAUGGUAGCUUCAAUUUCAAAAAAAAAGCACCAUCCGUUGUUUUAAUCUCUUUAAUAGAAAUUUGAGAAGCCUCCUCACAACAUGAAAACAACCGUUCAGCCACACCAUUGCUCUUAACCUGAAACUUGUUUGUUUUCAUUUUCAAGCACUUUAAGCAUAAUAAGCUUAACAACCGCUUCAAUUCGCUAACAUGACUUGGAUGAUAUAUUGGUAUUGGCAAUUCAAUAUAACCAAAGUGACCUUCACAUUUUCCAGGUUCAGAUGUGCCACAAGACUCACAUUUACCAAAUUCAAGCGGCAAGCCAAGGAAUGGAUUUGUAAGCUGACUAGAAUGGCUUAUAGGGCAGUCACUAACAGAAGCCGUAGAUAUUUCCUUAUGAGUUGCCAAACCAAAUCUGAUUCCAACUAUCUCCCCCUCCAAAAUGGUAGAUUGAACAUUGUCCUCCAUUUCUGCAAAAUUCCUCUAGUGCCUCCGCUGCUGUCAACACCCAAACACCACCUGCAAAAUUCCGGCUCCUUCUGAGCUUUGACUCGGCGAUUCUGACCCACAAAAACCCAAACAAAAAUGUAAGUGUGUGUUGUACUGGGCGUUUUGUUCCCUUCUACAGAGUGUUUGAGUUGGAGAGGGAGACUUUGCAUGCAGAGAAAAUUACUUUUUCAUUUUUCCUUUUUUU